CUGCCCUACAUGCUCCCUCUGUGGACAGGUGUCUGCGGAGUUCAGCCUAGUUUUGCUUUUCGCUGUGACAGGGUAGCCCUGAGUUCAAUGUAAAGUCUCACAUCACUGCAUUCUUCCUCUCCCAAGUGUACAGAUUCUCUCUGUGUGUCAUGCGGCUGCUGCUGUGGAUUGAGGGAGGAGCGGCAUCAGUAACCAAAGACUAUCUUUCCUACGCCUUCAGUGCCUCUUUCUGUGAUAUGAAGUUAAAACAAGGUGACAAACGAGAUUCUACCCAUGUCAGCAGACUGGAGAUUGCAGUUCUUCAAACCUGAGUGUAAGGUGUCUCAGAGCAAUAUGGAUUGCAGACAAAGAUUUUACUGAAACUUGAGAUCUGAAUUAAAAACCAGCCUUAGAAGUUAAUUUACAACUCUAAAGAUAAUGAGAACUUCAGAGAGGCUCACCCACCUCCUGAGUUAUGCAUGGACAUUUUGAGGGAGGUGGCAGGGGGUGCAAUACUGAGGCCCAGGACCAUGGAGGCAUCUCUUAAUUGUGAAACUGAAGACAUAGGACUUACCGUGUUUCCAAAACAGACUUUCUCAGAAGGGAGAAGAGAGACAGUUGCCUUACUCCCCACUAUAAGCAGAUACAAUUCAUAUUUUUCCAUUCCUUGAUUACCAUAUAGACUUGGUGUGUUUAAGAUAUUUGACCUGGCUUUCAUCACAAUGGCCCUGGCAUAAGAACGAAAGCACGGGGGAAUCACACGCUUGUUUUUUGCU
This 755-nucleotide long non-coding RNA is filed under the name Pan troglodytes (chimpanzee). RNAcentral describes it as "long non-coding RNA NONPTRT004366". The record is from RNAcentral. Lineage: Eukaryota; Metazoa; Chordata; Mammalia; Primates; Hominidae.